UCCCUGGUGGUCCAGUGGUUAAAAUGCCACACUCCCAAUGCAGGGGGCUCAGGUUCAAUCCCUGGUCAGGGAA
RNAcentral lists this transfer RNA (73 nucleotides) under Bos taurus (domestic cattle). It matches the Rfam family "tRNA". From Rfam's summary of the family: Transfer RNA (tRNA) molecules are approximately 80 nucleotides in length. RNAcentral also lists the same sequence under 1 other name. Lineage: Eukaryota; Metazoa; Chordata; Mammalia; Artiodactyla; Bovidae. The record is from Rfam by way of RNAcentral.